AGUGAACGCUGGCGGCAGGCCUAACACAUGCAAGUCGAACGGCAGCACAGUAAGAGCUUGCUCUUACGGGUGGCGAGUGGCGGACGGGUGAGGAAUACAUCGGAAUCUACUUUUUCGUGGGGGAUAACGUAGGGAAACUUACGCUAAUACCGCAUACGACCUACGGGUGAAAGCAGGGGAUCUUCGGACCUUGCGCGAUUGAAUGAGCCGAUGUCGGAUUAGCUAGUUGGCGGGGUAAAGGCCCACCAAGGCGACGAUCCGUAGCUGGUCUGAGAGGAUGAUCGCCCACACUAGAACUGAGACACGGUCCAGACUCCUACGGGAGGCAGCAGUGUGGAAUAUUGGACAAUGGGCGCAAGCCUGAUCCAGGCAUACCGCGUGGGUGAAGAAGGCUUUCGGGUUGUAAAGCCCUUUUGUGGGGAAAGAAAAGCAGCAGGUUAAUACCGCGCUGUUCUGACGGUACCCAAAGAAUAAGCACCGGCUAACUUCGUG
RNAcentral lists this ribosomal RNA (492 nucleotides) under uncultured bacterium. Its description in RNAcentral is "partial 16S ribosomal RNA". It matches the Rfam family "Bacterial small subunit ribosomal RNA", at positions 29 to 507 of the family's 1533-position model. The record is from RNAcentral.